AGAGUGUUUCGUGUCCUGGCGUCAAGGACGACGCUGGCGGCGUGCUUAACACAUGCAAGUCGAACGGAAGGCCCUGCUUUUGUGGGGUGCUCGAGUGGCGAACGGGUGAGUAACACGUGAGUAACCUGCCCUUGACUUUGGGAUAACUUCAGGAAACUGGGGCUAAUACCGGGAUAGGAGCUCCUGCUGCAUGGUGGGGUUGGAAAGUUUCGGCGGUUGGGGAUGGACUCGCGGCUUAUCAGCUUGUUGUGGGGUAGUGGCUUACCAAGGCUUUGACGGGUAGCCGGCCUGAGAGGGUGACCGGCCACAUUGGGACUGAGAUACGGCCCAGACUCCUACGGGAGGCAGCAGUGGGGAAUAUUGCACAAUGGGCGGAAGCCUGAUGCAGCAACGCCGCGUGCGGGAUGACGGCCUUCGGGUUGUAAACCGCUUUCGCCUGUGACGAAGCGUGAGUGACGGUAAUGGGUAAAAAAGCACCGGCUAACUACGUG
RNAcentral lists this ribosomal RNA (491 nucleotides) under uncultured Propionibacterium sp. Its description in RNAcentral is "bacterial SSU rRNA". It matches the Rfam family "Bacterial small subunit ribosomal RNA", at positions 1 to 507 of the family's 1533-position model. The record is from RNAcentral. Lineage: Bacteria; Bacillati; Actinomycetota; Actinomycetes; Propionibacteriales; Propionibacteriaceae.